UUUCACACAAUCUUAAAGCAAUGUCUUGUGAAGCAGAAAGCUAAUCAACACAAAAUUUAAAUGAACUCAGCAUCAAUAUCUAUUCUCUGCACCACAUGAACACCAUAAUAACUUCAACAAUCAAAGCACAGGGUUUCAAAUCAUUCACUGCAUUAUAAAAAAAUGAAAACUACAGUUACAGAUUUUAGUUAUAAAUCUGAACAUUUUUUGAUCGGAACAGUUAUAUUGUGAUUACUUUUGCUUCCCAUGAGAAUGCUAAUGUUUCUGGCACAUCGAAACCCUCCUGACCGGUAUGCAAUCAACUAACCAUGAAUGUAAUGAUUGAAAAUGGCAUCUAAUUAUUACACUCCAUUAAAAUAACUUAUCUGCAAAAUUUCAGUUAAUUACGGUGACUUCUGCCACAUCAUUCAUCUUUACCUUUAUUUCAAUCUCAGCUUUACAACCAAUUUUAUUGCAGAACAUACAAGUUACAUCCUCAUAAGACUGCAUUACACAAUGAAUGAAUGAAUGGAUAUAAAUAGUCUGUACAAGGAUGUCAAUAAGCAGACAGACUCUUCUAAACAACAAAAGUACAAUUAUCAGUUUAUACAUCAAGUAUAGAACAAACUUAGUCUAGAGAUUUCUUCACUAAUUCAGUAGCUAUAUUUAUCUUCAAACUCAUUGGAAGAGAGUAAUUUGGGAAGGUCGAGAGCCUUGAAAACAGUCUCUUGUGAAAUGAUGUAGUCUGCCACCUGUUAAAAUAAUUAAUCUUGGUUUUCACACACUGUAACUAAACCUACGAAGUAUCUGAGGGAUGAAUGAAUGAUCACUGAAAGAGAAUUCUUAAUGUAAUUAGUAAGGCCCAGCAUGUACUCAAAAACUGUUCUGAAAUCACGAAUAAUUAACAAUGAUAUGGCCAAAUUGUAAAUAGCAUCAUUAGCUGUUUACAUGUUCCAUAGGUCAUAUUCAUAAUAAAGUUUACAAUGGGGAAGAUGUCAACCAAACCGACAUUGAAUACACAUUUCAAAAAAAUGUUUAUAUGGCUACAUACUGGCCAUUUAAAGUUUUUUUUUUUUUUUUUUGGAAUAAAUGGCUACUUCCAGUCAAGAACUACUCUUUGUAGUAGGUCGAGUUUUUACAGAUAUCUUUAAUCUAAUCUAGAUUUUAAAACAUUUCUAUUAUUUCUCAGGCUUUUUACUUCCAUGGGUAAAUAGUGUGUUUCAUAGCUGCACAUUUCACUCCUUUUUCUGCCAACGGAGUUCCUGCAGGGUUACACAGAUCAUUCUUCCUUCUAGUAUUAUACUCAUGAAUACCCCUGUUGGUAACAAAUUACGUAAGUGAAUAAAUGUACUGAGAGACUUGCAAAUAUUCACAGCUGCAUAAAGUGAUGCCCUCAAGAUGUAUGUGUGUGAACUCUGCUCAUUAUUCCAAUUAGUUCCUUUUGUGCAGUGAAUAUUGUGUAAGUGUGUGAGGUGUUACCUGUAAAUAUUAUCCAAUAAGACAUCAGUGAAUGAAAAUUUGCCAGAGGUUUUCCAGUUUAAGCUUUCGUCAAUAUGUAAACCUGAAAAUCUAGAAUUUUUGUACCAUAUUUAUUAUUUCUUGUUGGUAUACUUGGUUCAUAGGAUGUGAGAUAUUUUUCACACUAUGAAACUGAAUUAGCUGUGUUUAAAAAAUUUCAAGCUAGCCCACUCAUACAAAACCAUUCAAUAACAUUCACAAAAACAUAAUUUACUAUUUUCUCCACUGAUGCUUCUUUGCUUGGCUUCACAACAAUUCUUGUAUAACCUAUAAACAGGACUGACUGUGCUUACUGAUUCAAAUAAAAAGGGAGAUCAUAACAAAGCAAGAACAGUUGUGGCACAAUGAUCAAACCCUAUGAGGUGCCUACUGUAAUUUCUAACCAUACAGAUGGUGUGGCAUCCCUCUUUGUAUUACCCGAACAGCCUAGGGUCACUUUUUGCAUUCUUUUUCUUAAAUGAGAAAUAAACCAUACAUGCAGUGAACAACGUAUUUCUUAAAAGCUUAACUGCUGUAACAGAAUAUUAUGACUGACACAAUCAAAUACCUUCAAUAAGCAUAGCAGAUCUCAACUAGUGAAAUUUUAUUGUUUACACUUUAUUAUGCGCUCAGUAAAUGUACACCUAGCUGUCUGAGUAGCAUGGCCCUUCUAAAACCCAAACCAUGAUUGGCUAAAGGUACCACUACUACACAGUUGCAUGGCAACAGUUUACAUCCCCUAUCCCAUUUGAAUGUUACGAACAUCUUCCCAACACUAUCAUCAACGUCUCAAUUUUCUAUUUUAUCUGUCUUUCCUCAGAUUUGUAUGAAUAUCAUGAUCCAAACAUUUCAAAAAAGUUCUGCAAACAUUUUCAUGUUUCUGCCCACUCCAUCUCUAUAUCUUAAAUAUAUAAAAUAAGCAUUAUUCAAAGAUUGAACAAUGUACUAGUAAUAGCCCUGUCAUCAUAUUUAAUUUUUGUUUAUAUUGAGUUUAAGUGUACACUGAUAUUCUAAGGUACCAGCUAAUUGUGCAAAUUACUUCAUUCACUUACAAUACAGUACAGUGUACAGUUCAGACUGGUAAGCAUAUUAGUGAGGAAAUAAACCAAGAGAACAGUGUUUUGGGUGUGACAAACAAUGAAGGUUACAUAACUCAAAUGUAAUUAAAAAGUUACAAUUCACAAAACAAGACAAUAGUUGCAUAAGAGUGAUAGCACAAAUGCUUUCUAUCACCCAACUAUGACAACUUCCAUUAUAAGACUGUAAAAUUACUGCUUGGAGAAGUACAGCACACCACAUCAUGACAUUUACGGUAAUUGAGCAUGAUCUUAUGGAAACUAUUUCACAGCCAUAUCUGUGUAUGAGCAUCUCCACUUUACCCAUCAUUACUGAGAUAAAAAUUAUAAUUAAAAGUAAAUAAUUAAGGAGAAAAGGAGAUAACUCACUGAGUAGUAGUAGCACUGAGUUGUUACACAAAAAAAAGAAUAAAAAUGUCUGAUACCUGGAUUGCAGUUUGCUGUGGGUAGAGGGCGGAAAGAGGUGAGGCUUAAAGAGCGUGGCAUACUGACUGAAUGAAGGCAGAUAAUGCAACAGCUAGGCACCAGAACCAAUGAGUUCAUGCAUUCCAUGAGGAUGGUGACCUGGAGGAGUAGAUUGAAAGGGAGUGACAGGACAGAGGAAGUGGUGAAUGUGGGAUACAGGGUGUAAGUGCAGUGGGUAAGUGAAGACUCAGGUCAGGAGGGUUACAGGAUUUAAUGUGUUGCAAGGAUCCAAAUAGCACGGGUUGUAAGGCAGCCAUAAACCUCUAGUUGAAUGGCUGCUUUACAACCCCUCCAUUUCACUUACAACUGGGAAACCUUUGGACUGAUCACAUUAUGUGUUAAUGAUGAUUGGGCCUGCUUAGGAUCUAUGAAUAGUGGCAUCCAUAUAUCACUAUUAAGUUCUACUUCAGCGAACUGUGUGUGUAUCCUUCCAACUCCUGCCAAAGUGAUAUUCAGCCACCCCCCCCCCCCCCCCCAAUCUACACAACAUCACAGUCCAUCCUUACGCCAUCCACCCUUACCACAUAGUUCAUAUCUUUGUGGCUGACCCAGGUGCAAGAUCUAUCCGAUACAACCACACGGCACAUCCUACUCCAGUUCUUUCACAGGCUUAUCCUAUCCCAUUGGAGGGACAUCCACCUGUGAAAGCAGUCAUGAUACAUACCAUACCUGCUGCAGCUUCUACACUGCAUUAUGUGGGCAAGAUCACCAACCUGCUGUUCACAGAAUUAAUGGCCACCACCAAACUGGCCUUGAGCAGAGUUGACCACCCAGUGUAAGGACACACUGCUGAGAACAGCAUAAUCGAUUCAAAUGGCUGUUUUACAAGCCAGGUUGUCUGGACCCCUUCCCCUGAGCUCCAGCAUUUCUGAUCUAUGUAGAUGCAAGUUAUCCUUGCAACACACCCUUCACUAUUUUAAUACUGCCAGCUUCAAUUUAUGCUAACCCUCUGCCCUCGUACCUUCUACCCAACAAUCCCCCCUUUCUCUCUCCUGUAACCCCCUCUCAAUCACGUACUCCACGUCAUUAGUUUUGUCCACUGCAUGAACUAACUGGCUCCAGUGCCCAUGUGUUGUAUUCCUAGCCUGUGCACUUGCCGCUUCUAAUCCCACAGUCUGCUGCCUCCCUCUACACUAAGUCAUCCUUCCUCAAGCCCUCAUCCCACUUCCCAUCUCUUUUCUCCUUGUAUCCACAUCCACCCCCAAUAGACAAUACACUCCCAGAGAGAGAGAGAGAGAGAGAGAGAGAGAGAGAGAGAGAGAGAGAUUUCAACACUUUUACUAUUUGUGAGUUUUCUUCUUCUUAUAUGUGUGUGUGUGUGUGUGUGUGGGGGUCAAUUCAACAAUUCUACUAUUUUGGGUUUUAUUCUGUACUCCUAAAUUAUUCCCAUUCUGCCAUAACUUUUCUUGCCCUAUUUAUAAUGAAAAGUUUCAUAUUGUAACUUGAAACAUAAAUAUGAUUCAGUUUUAGACCAUUCAUAAUAAAAACGGUACUACAGAGUCUAAAGAAUCCACACAAAAUAACUGACUACAUGAUCAGCAGUGUUUACUUCUUUCUAUGGACUUCAUUGCUGAUUUAAGGACAUUGUUACCUUGUUAUUGGUUUCCUCGUAAUUGACAUGGAGGUUCUUGAUUUUGCUCCACAUUAGUUGAAUUACGUCAUAUUACAUUUAUACUGAGCCCUUGAACCUGGUCUCUCUCAAUGUGUUUCAAGGCAGCAAAUUUUCCCCACUUUGUCAAUACUGAACCCACCAAUUCAAUCCCUCUGCUGUGACCCCACAAAUAAACUCUCUAAAACUCACUGUGUGUAAAAUACACCCCAUAUUCUUAUGAUUUCACAUUCAUUGGCUUUGCCACCUCACAAUCAACCUGUCAUCUUCCAAGAUCCAACUGGCAAUACCUCUCAUAU
Molecule: long non-coding RNA, 4925 nt
Organism: Schistocerca cancellata (South American locust)
Lineage: Eukaryota; Metazoa; Arthropoda; Insecta; Orthoptera; Acrididae
Exons: 2
Source: RefSeq, a predicted model, not a curated record